RNAcentral lists this long non-coding RNA (2085 nucleotides) under Homo sapiens (human). RNAcentral's name for it is "HSALNT0406692". Lineage: Eukaryota; Metazoa; Chordata; Mammalia; Primates; Hominidae. The record is from RNAcentral.
UUUAAAAGGAGACACAGAGAAAGAGAGAGAAUUAUACUCAAGGCAUAUGCUUGCGAAAAUAACAUAAGGCAACAAAAAGAAUAAUUCCAAUUUUUAAAAAGGGCCAAUGGAAAAUUGAUCAAGGAGACACAGGAAUGUGAACAUUAAAUACAAAUAAUAACAUAAUUUCAAAAAUAUUUUUAAGAACUGAAAGGAUUACAGGGAAAAUUUGGAAGAUUCACAAUCACCAUGGGAGGGUCUUUGUAGCACAGUUCUGUCAGGAAAUACAAUCAUAUAUUGCGUAACAAUAGGAAGAGGGAGGGAGAAAUGUGUCAUUAGGUGAUUCUGUCAUUGUUUGCUCAUCGUAGAGUAUACUGACUCAAACCUAGAUGGCAUAGUCUCCUGUAGGCCCAGGCUGUGUGGCAGAUCCUAUUGUUCCUAACCUACACACCUGUACAGCAUGUACAGGUACUAUAAGGGAUACUGUAAGCAACUGUAACACAAUGAUGCCUGCUCCAGCUGCCUCAUCUCCUCUUGUGUUCACAACAGACCUAGAAACCAGUGUCUCCCAGCAUGGUGACUUUCCAGAUGGGGAAACCGAGUCUUGGAGAAGUAUGAUGAACAUUCUAAGCCCUUCAACUGAUCAGACAAGGCCCACCCACAUCACGGUUCAUCCAAGUCUACUGGCUGUAAAUGUGCAUCACGCCUGCAGAUACCUUCACGGCAGCAUCUGGUUGGUGUUUGACCACACCUCUGGGCAUCGUAGCCGAGCCAGCUGACUCAGAGAUUUCACCACCUCAGGGAAGCUCAGUUCCAGGGUUCAGUCAUCCACUGUGCUUUGCUGAGUGACUGAACUGGGGACCAGGAGACCCAGGCCAGCACAGCUGAAGGCCGUCCUGGGGUGGGGCACAGGAGCUCAUGGCUGCGAAGGAGCUUGCAUUAGGGGGUCAGCAGGAGGCCACACUGGCUGUAAUACUGACAGAAUAUCAGGGUGAGAAGGGUCCUGCUGGGUGAGAUGCAGGGUCUCAAAGGUGACAGUCAUGCCAAGGGUGUGGAGGGAGGGGAUUGGGUGCAGGUGGUGUAGGACAGAAGGUUCUAUUCCAAAGGACAGAGCCAACUGCACAGCUCUAGCCUGGAGGAAAGCCCACGGCCCCUUGGCCCAGGCUCUGGCCAUGCAACAUGCAGCUCAGGGACCCAGACUUUGUAUCCCCUGGAGCUUCGUAGAAACAUGAGCCUCAGAGCCCAUUCCAGGCCUGCCUGCCACAACAGAAACCGAUGCUAACAAGCUCCCUGGGGUUCUGAGAGCACCGCCGUGUUUCUGUCGAGUGAGCCCUGGGACCCUUCCUGGCUCUUCCCAGGCUGCCAGCCCAUCCUCCUGCACAGUCCUCCUGCACUGUCCUCCUGGGCUUGCCUUGGUUCUCUGUGCGGAGCACUGACAUCCAUAGAGAGCACUGCCAUCAACUCCCUCUGGGUCUGUGCUUUCCUCCCAUUUCCCCCAAGCCAAGAUACAGAAGGUGCACGACACGGGCCCUGGGCAGGAGGACUUGAAAGCAACUUCCAUGGCUCACCCCUCACCAGGCUCUGAGCUGAUAUCUGACCACAGAGGGGAAUGUGGUGGGCGUGUGCUCUGCUGCGCACACGUGGUGCCCCUGCCCUGGAGGCUCAAGAUCCUGGAGCCAGGCAGGUCCGGGAGGUACCACGGGGGUGCUGUGGGCUCUCCCUGCCUUGGUCUCCUGCUCCAGGCCCAGCACCGGCAGCAGCGCAGCCUCAGAGUUUCCUGGAGGCUCCUUCAGGGAGGUCCCCGGGGUGGGGGGUGGGGGGCAUGAGCUUACUUAGGGGCCAAGAUGCUAGGAGACAGCACAAGCUCCACAGCAGCACAAGACGCCGGAGCUUCUCAUUCUUAUUCUGUUUUCUCUUCUGGUUCAAGGAGAGAGGCCACCUUUGUUGACAAACUGGUGUUUUAUACGGAGGCAUCAUCCGGCUGGAAUGGAGCUGUCCCCAUAACGGUGAGAGUACAUGUUGUGAUUUGAGGGAGGCUGAGCUUAACAAGGUGACAGCAUGCUCCCACCUGCACCCCGGCAUAAAAGCAUUUCCAUUUCGCUUGUA